Molecule: long non-coding RNA, 385 nt
Filed under: Monodelphis domestica (gray short-tailed opossum)
Lineage: Eukaryota; Metazoa; Chordata; Mammalia; Didelphimorphia; Didelphidae
Description: lncRNA (ENSMODG00000042327.1)
Source: RNAcentral
GGAGACGCGGCCUCCACGCGGUGCACACCUCACCGAGGGCGGGCGGGCGGUCCCCCACGACCAGGACCCGAACCCAGCACCACACCGGAGAACGGGAGAAGUCGGAGCCAGGCAUCUCCUCUUCCCACUGGCCCGUCCGGCAAACCCAGGGGGCGGCCGUCCCAAGACCCCCCCACCCAGACCCGCCCUUCCCGUCUCGGGGGCACGGGAAGCAGGAAAGACGGGAAAGGGACCCGACGGGUGCCCCGGGGCCGCGGCACGAGGCACGCGACCCGGCGGCGCCGCCCUCGGCGCCCGAGACCCAGGGGCGCGCGCAAACACUGGACCGAAACCGACGCCCCGCUGGAGUCUCUUCCGGAGAGGGGGUGGUAGCCGUUUCUCAGGC